This 352-nucleotide ribosomal RNA is filed under the name Salmonella enterica. Its description in RNAcentral is "bacterial LSU rRNA". It matches the Rfam family "Bacterial large subunit ribosomal RNA", at positions 1192 to 1460 of the family's 2925-position model. Lineage: Bacteria; Pseudomonadati; Pseudomonadota; Gammaproteobacteria; Enterobacterales; Enterobacteriaceae. The record is from RNAcentral. RNAcentral also lists the same sequence under 7 other names.
CACCGAAGCUGCGGCAGCGAACGUAUCACUUAAAGCGAUUCAGCGGGUUACGAUUGACGGAGCGAAGCGACGUCAAAGCGUAUACAAAGUCGAGUCGGUUUAAGGAUACGUUCGUUGGGUAGGGGAGCGUUCUGUAAGCCUGUGAAGGUGGCCUGUGAGGGUUGCUGGAGGUAUCAGAAGUGCGAAUGCUGACAUAAGUAACGAUAAAGCGGGUGAAAAGCCCGCUCGCCGGAAGACCAAGGGUUCCUGUCCAACGUUAAUCGGGGCAGGGUGAGUCGACCCCUAAGGCGAGGCCGAAAGGCGUAGUCGAUGGGAAACGGGUUAAUAUUCCCGUACUUGGUGUUACUGCGAA